ACAUUUCCUUACACACGAAUAUAGCAAGAACGAACAAAAUUGCACAAGAAAAAGUUGAUUUGAAUGUCCCAAGUAGGCAUCAUCGACAUCUUCUCACCACUUUCCUAGCAAUAGAAAAAGAGACAAAACAAAAAACAUUAAACAGUCCAAUAACAAAUCGAUAAACAAGGACCUAGUUCAUGGGCACAAGGAACAGUAGACUUAGGACACAGUUAACGACAUCUAGUUUAUAGCAACCAUUGAAGAGACACGUAACAACAAGGUAAUGAAAGCAUCUACUGGACAUAACAACGAGCACGGCAAAUAU
Molecule: long non-coding RNA, 307 nt
Filed under: Hordeum vulgare
Lineage: Eukaryota; Viridiplantae; Streptophyta; Magnoliopsida; Poales; Poaceae
Description: long non-coding RNA (HVUL_LNC003313)
Source: RNAcentral